Dioscorea cayenensis subsp. rotundata (Guinea yam) is the source of this 2206-nucleotide RNA transcript. It is a transcript of the gene named transcription initiation factor TFIID subunit 15b, with no coding region annotated. The transcript is spliced from 7 exons. NCBI's taxonomy places the organism in Eukaryota, Viridiplantae, Streptophyta, Magnoliopsida, Dioscoreales, Dioscoreaceae. The record is from RefSeq and is a predicted model, not a curated record.
CGUUCUCUCUUUUCACUCUCCUUCGCGCUGCCCUAGAAAGCAUCUCAGCCGUUCUCUCUCUUUCUCUGUUCAUCCGCCGGCUUCUCCUCUAUUGGAGGAAAACCCUAGAGCCAUGUCUGGAGCUUAUGGAUCCGGCGGCGGCGGCGGUGGCGGUGGUGGUGGUGGUGGUUAUGGUGGAAAUCCCCGAGGUGGUGGCGGUGGACAUGGUGGUGGUGGUGGUGGUGGAGGGUAUCAUGGUGGUGAUCGUGGUCACAGAGGCGGUGGUGGGCAGUGGGGUGGCGGUCGUGGAGGCGGCGGCGGACGAGAAGGCGAUUGGCUUUGCCCUGAACCUAGUUGCGGUAAUGUGAACUUUGCGAGGAGGACGGAGUGUAACAAGUGCGGCGCUCCAAACCCUGGUGGUGGAACUGGUGGCUCGUAUAACAGAGGAGGUGGACGCGGUGGUGGCGGGCGUGAUGGUGGUCACAGUCGCGGGGAUGGUGGUUAUAAUCGUGGUGGUGGAGGUGAUUAUAAUCGUGGUGGAAGUGAGUAUAAUAGCAGCAGUGGCGGUGGCGGCAGCGGUGGCGGUGGUGGUGGUUAUAAUCGGGGCGGUGGAGACUUUAACAGUGGUGGUGGUUAUAAUCGGGGUGGCGGAGACUAUAACAGUGGUGGCAGUGGUGGUAAUCGAGGAGGGAGAAGUGGAAAUUAUGGUGGGAGAGGAGGGUCCUACAAUGAUAACCAGGGGAGGGGUGAUGAUGGCUAUGGCCAAGUUCCUCCAUCUGCUCCGGGGCCUUAUGGUGGUCCUCCCGGUGGGAAUUAUCCUCCAGCUCCUAACUCUUAUGGUGGGAACAAUGCUUAUGGUAUGGAGGCAGUUCCACCACCAACUGGCUAUGGCGGACCGAGUUCUCUUCCACCGAGUUAUGGUGCCCCUCCCUCUAAUACUUAUGGUGGUGAUUCCACUGUGGGUCGUGGAGGGCCGCCACCGCCUAGCUAUGAUGGAGGAUAUGGGGGUCGGCCAAGGUCUGGACGUGAUGGUGGUGGUGGUGGUGGUGGUGGUGGGUACAGUGAUCGGUCAACUGACAUUUCUGAAAAGGUGAAACAGUGUGAUGAUAAUUGCGAUGAUACAUGUGAUAAUUCUCGGAUCUACAUUUCUAAUCUGCCUCCAGAUGUGACUAUUGAUGAGCUGAGGGAUCUCUUUGGCGGGAUUGGGCAGGUUGGAAGAAUCAAACAGAAGCGUGGUUACAAGGACCAAUGGCCAUGGAACAUAAAAAUAUACACGGAUGAACAAGGAAAUAAUAAAGGAGAUGCAGUUUUGUCCUAUGAAGAUCCUUCUGCAGCUCAUUCUGCUGGAGGAUUUUACAAUAACUAUGAUCUGAGGGGCUACAAGAUUAGUGUGGCAAUGGCUGAGAAAUCUGCACCUAAACCUCCACCUGCAUUUGGACAUGGUAGAGGUGGUAGAGGAGGUUAUGGUGGUGGUGGAGAUCGGCGCAGGGACAACUACCGGGAUGGUGGGGGUUCUGGUCCUGAUAGGCACCAGCACGGUGGACCACGCUCACGGCCAUAUUAAAGAUGCAUGGCUAUGUUUUACAGCAACUAUAAAUCUCUAUGAGAAAUUUUCUGUUCCUAAUCACCAAGUUGUAGGCCAAAAAUGGUGCCUUAAGGUAGGUUGUCCAUGACCCUCUUUUAGCAAAUCCUCAUUUCUUUCAUAGAAAAUGUUGGAUAUCAGGGAGGUUUGUCUUAUUUCUUAGACCUAAAAGUUUAUUUGUAUUGUGUGGAUGUCUUUUUUUUUGUGUUUUUAGAGACAAGUGGAUAUGAUCUCCAAAUUGCUGUGAUAGGUUUGAGAUGAGUUUUUCAGCAACAAAGCAUGGAUCCGGAGACCAUGGAUUUUAUAUCAUUUUGCCAAGCCAAGUUCAUCAUCAUUCAUGGCAUUGUGUUAAUGCAUGCUUUUGACGUUUUUUAUAAUAGUCUUUCAAAAUCUUCAUUGUAAAUAAACAUGUUAGCGUAGAAACUGGGUUAAUCUUUAAGGAGGCAGCGUCAAGGCAAAGGAUGAGCUGGCCCUUAUGAUCACAAAGAUGAAUCUUUGUACUGGCUAGAGCCCAAGGAAAUCGUAUUCAGGGAGCUACUCCAAUCAAACCGUCACAAUCAUUGACAAACUAAACUGAUUGAAUUCAUCAUUACCAAGCUUGAAAACUCAUUUAUUUUUCCAUUUGAAAAGAACACCAAUCUUUCA